This 466-nucleotide ribosomal RNA is filed under the name uncultured bacterium. RNAcentral's name for it is "bacterial SSU rRNA". It matches the Rfam family "Bacterial small subunit ribosomal RNA", at positions 29 to 506 of the family's 1533-position model. The record is from RNAcentral.
GCGAACGUUAGCGGCGGGCUUAACACAUGCAAGUCGAACGAGAAAGGGUCCUUCGGGGCCUGAGUAAAGUGGCGCACGGGUGAGUAACACGCGGAUAAUCUACCCUCUGGUGGGGGACAACAGCUGGAAACGGCUGCUAAUACCGCAUGAGUCCUGAUGGUCUGCGGGCUGUCAGGAGAAAGGCUUCGGUCGCCAGAGGAUGAGUCCGCGUCCCAUCAGCUAGUUGGUGAGGUAAUGGCUCACCAAGGCUUAGACGGGUAGCUGGUCUGAGAGGAUGAUCAGCCACACUGGGACUGAGACACGGCCCAGACUCCUACGGGAGGCAGCAGUGGGGAAUAUUGGACAAUGGGCGAAAGCCUGAUCCAGCCACGCCGCGUGUGUGAUGAAGGCCUUCGGGUCGUAAAGCACUGUGGAGAGGGAAGAACUCAAUGACGGUACCUCUUUAGCAAGCACCGGCUAACUCCGU